This 154-nucleotide small RNA is filed under the name Butyrivibrio sp. YAB3001. RNAcentral's name for it is "Clostridiales-1 RNA". It matches the Rfam family "Clostridiales-1 RNA". The record is from Rfam by way of RNAcentral. Lineage: Bacteria; Bacillati; Bacillota; Clostridia; Lachnospirales; Lachnospiraceae.
AAGAAGCAGUGAGUCAAAGUCAUGAGACUGUCGUGCUUGCACGAGCAGGCACAUGACCUUGACGAACGCUCAAACAUGAGCAAGUAGCGCAAUAGCGCGGAUUGCGAAUGUUUGGAGCAUGGCGGGAGCGAAGCGUAGCCAUGCGGAGCUUUUG